GGAUGUGAGGGAGAUCUGGCUGUGACAUCUGUCACCCCAUUGAUUGCCAAGGUUGAUUCGGCUGGUCUGGCUGGCUAGGUGGGUGUUCCCUUCCUCUCUCACUGCUCCAAGUGCAUCCCUCCUGAAGCUGCACGCUCGGUCGAAGAAGAUGGCCUUCCCCGAAUAGAGACCGACUGGUCUUUGGUCCAGGGUGUAUGAGUAGCUGCACUCCCCUCCUAGAACCUCCAAACAUGCUCUCAUACUGUGAUACUAAAUAAAAUAUCAUUCAACCAAAAAUUAAUUUGGAAGAUUUCUAACUUUCUUA
RNAcentral lists this small nuclear RNA (304 nucleotides) under Sorex araneus (European shrew). RNAcentral's name for it is "7SK RNA (ENSSARG00000015528.1)". It matches the Rfam family "7SK RNA". Rfam says of the family: 7SK was discovered as an abundant small nuclear RNA in the mid-70s but a possible function has only recently been suggested. Two independent studies have found that 7SK RNA binds the CDK9/cyclin T complex (known as elongation factor P-TEFb). The record is from RNAcentral. Lineage: Eukaryota; Metazoa; Chordata; Mammalia; Eulipotyphla; Soricidae.